This 265-nucleotide long non-coding RNA is filed under the name Salvia miltiorrhiza (redroot sage). RNAcentral describes it as "long non-coding RNA (SMIL_LNC004906)". The record is from RNAcentral. Lineage: Eukaryota; Viridiplantae; Streptophyta; Magnoliopsida; Lamiales; Lamiaceae.
UCUUCAUUCCCUUCACUCUAUAUUAUGGUGAUUCACUAUAUAGUACAAUCAUGGGCGCCGUACCAACUGUUGUUUCCCGAGUUCAGCUGUCAAAGUUAGCUCAGAGCCUCGUGCAGGUGGGAUUGGGUCGCUAAUUAGAUCCAAAAAUCAGUAGCUCAAGGAUAUUCCACAAGGUACUAGUUCACAGCUUCGUACAAGAGCACUUGCGGUUGUAGAUGUCCUCUUUCACACAUUGUAAGGACAUCAUUCCAGCCGCCAAUUACCU